This is a non-coding RNA of Chelonia mydas (Green sea turtle), 121 nucleotides long. Lineage: Eukaryota; Metazoa; Chordata; Testudines; Cheloniidae. The record is from Rfam.
UUACUCUGGUUUCUCUUCAGAACGUAUAAAUCUUUCGCCUUUUACUAAAGAUUUCCGUGGAGAGGAACAUUUAUGAGUUUCUACCCAAUUUUUUUUUCAGCGAAUGGAACUUACUCCAUCU